GAUGAACGCUGGCGGCGUGCCUAAUACAUGCAAGUCGAGCGAACAGACGAGGAGCUUGCUCCUUUGACGUUAGCGGCGAACGGGUGAGUAACACGUGGGUAACCUACCUAUAAGACUGGGAUAACUUCGGGAAACCGGAGCUAAUACCGGAUAAUAUUUCGAACCGCAUGGUUCGAUAGUGAAAGAUGGCUUUGCUAUCACUUAUAGAUGGACCUGCGCCGUAUUAGCUAGUUGGUAAGGUAACGGCUUACCAAGGCAACGAUACGUAGCCGACCUGAGAGGGUGAUCGGCCACACUGGAACUGAGACACGGUCCAGACUCCUACGGGAGGCAGCAGUAGGGAAUCUUCCGCAAAGGGCGAAAGCCUGACGGAGCAACGCCGCGUGAGUGAUGAAGGUCUUCGGAUCGUAAAACUCUGUUAUUAGGGAAGAACAAACGUGUAAGUAACUGUGCACGUCUUGACGGUACCUAAUCAGAAAGCCACGGCUAACUACGUG
Molecule: ribosomal RNA, 497 nt
Filed under: uncultured bacterium
Lineage: Bacteria
Description: partial 16S ribosomal RNA
Rfam family: Bacterial small subunit ribosomal RNA
Source: RNAcentral